RNAcentral lists this ribosomal RNA (457 nucleotides) under uncultured Thiothrix sp. RNAcentral's name for it is "bacterial SSU rRNA". It matches the Rfam family "Bacterial small subunit ribosomal RNA", at positions 923 to 1382 of the family's 1533-position model. Lineage: Bacteria; Pseudomonadati; Pseudomonadota; Gammaproteobacteria; Thiotrichales; Thiotrichaceae. The record is from RNAcentral.
GCACAAGCGGUGGAGCAUGUGGUUUAGUUCGAAGCAACGCGAAGAACCUUACCAGGCCUUGGCAUGCAGAGAGCUUUCCAGAGAUGGAUUGGUGCCUUCGGGAACUCUGACACAGGUGCUGCAUGGCUGUCGUCAGCUCGUGUCGUGAGAUGUUGGGUUAAGUCCCGUAACGAGCGCAACCCUUGUCAUUAGUUGCUACAUUCAGUUGGGCACUCUAAUGAGACUGCCGGUGACAAGCCGGAGGAAGGUGGGGAUGACGUCAAGUCCUCAUGGCCCUUAUAGGUGGGGCUACACACGUCAUACAAUGGCUGGUACAAAGGGUUGCCAACCCGCGAGGGGGAGCCAAUCCCAUAAAGCCAGUCGUAGUCCGGAUCGUAGUCUGCAACUCGACUACGUGAAGUCGGAAUCGCUAGUAAUCGUGGAUCAGAAUGUCACGGUGAAUACGUUCCCGGGUCUU